RNAcentral lists this ribosomal RNA (498 nucleotides) under uncultured bacterium. RNAcentral describes it as "bacterial SSU rRNA". It matches the Rfam family "Bacterial small subunit ribosomal RNA", at positions 899 to 1397 of the family's 1533-position model. The record is from RNAcentral.
ACUCAAAUGAAUAGACGGGGGUCCGCACAAGCGGCGGAGCAUGUGGAUUAAUUCGAUGCAACGCGAAGAACCUUACCUGGGUUUGACAUACACCGGUAACCCGCGGAGACGUGGGCCCCCUUGUGGUCGGUGUACAGGUGGUGCAUGGCUGUCGUCAGCUCGUGUCGUGAGAUGUUGGGUUAAGUCCCGCAACGAGCGCAACCCUUGUCCUGUGUUGCCAGCGCGUGAUGGCGGGGACUCGCAGGAGACUGCCGGGGUCAACUCGGAGGAAGGUGGGGAUGACGUCAAGUCAUCAUGCCCCUUAUGUCCAGGGCUUCACACAUGCUACAAUGGCCGGUACAGAGGGCUGCGAUGCCGUGAGGCGGAGCGAAUCCCUUAAAGCCGGUCUCAGUUCGGAUCGGGGUCUGCAACUCGACCCCGUGAAGUCGGAGUCGCUAGUAAUCGCAGAUCAGCAACGCUGCGGUGAAUACGUUCCCGGGCCUUGUACACACCGCCCGU